AUACGUAGGGUGCAAGCGUUAAUCGGAAUUACUGGGCGUAAAGCGUGCGUAGGCGGUUUUGUAAGACAGAGGUGAAAUCCCCGGGCUCAACCUGGGAACUGCCUUUGUGACUGCAAGGCUAGAGUACGGCAGAGGGGGAUGGAAUUCCGCGGGUAGCAGUGAAAUGCGUAGAUAUGCGGAGGAACACCGAUGGCGAAGGCAAUCCCCUGGGCCUGUACUGACGCUCAUGCACGAAAGCGUGGGGAGCAAACAGGAUUAGAUACCCUGGUAGUCCACGCCCUAAACGAUGUCAACUGGUUGUUGGGUCUUCAUUGACUCAGUAACGAAGCUAACGCGUGAAGUUGACCGCCUGGGGGGUACGGCCGCAAGGUUGAAACUUAAAGGAAUUGACGGGG
RNAcentral lists this ribosomal RNA (395 nucleotides) under uncultured bacterium. RNAcentral describes it as "partial 16S ribosomal RNA". It matches the Rfam family "Bacterial small subunit ribosomal RNA", at positions 523 to 918 of the family's 1533-position model. The record is from RNAcentral.